CCUGAUCCAGCCAUGCCGCGUGCAGGAAGACAGCCUAUGGGUCGUAAACUGCUUUUGUACGGGAAGAAACACCCCCUUGCGAGGGGGCUUGACGGUACCGUAAGAAUAAGGAUCGGCUAACUCCGUGCCAGCAGCCGCGGUAAUACGGAGGAUCCGAGCGUUAUCCGGAAUCAUUGGGUUUAAAGGGUCCGUAGGUGGGCCGUUAAGUCAGGGGUGAAAUCCCGCAGCUCAACUGUGGAAUUGCCUUUGAUACUGGCGGUCUUGAGUCGUUGUGAAGUAGCUGGAAUAUGUAGUGUAGCGGUGAAAUGCAUAGAUAUUACAUAGAACACCGAUUGCGAAGGCAGGUUACUAACAACGUACUGACACUGAUGGACGAAAGCGUGGGGAGCGAACAGGAUUAGAUACCCUGGUAGUCCACGCCGUAAACGAUGGUCACUAGCUGUCCGGACUUCGGUCUGGGUGGCCAAGCGAAAGUGAUAAGUGACCCACCUGGGGAGUACGUUCGCAAGAAUG
RNAcentral lists this ribosomal RNA (513 nucleotides) under uncultured Bacteroidota bacterium. RNAcentral describes it as "bacterial SSU rRNA". It matches the Rfam family "Bacterial small subunit ribosomal RNA", at positions 382 to 896 of the family's 1533-position model. Lineage: Bacteria; Pseudomonadati; Bacteroidota. The record is from RNAcentral.